AUCACAACAAGGUAGGCAAGGGAAGAUCAGAAGCUUGUCCUCAAAAGCAAGUAGUUAAGCAAGUGGACUAACACGAUCAAGUUUUUUGAAAGUGUCAUAUAUGGUGGAGAUAAGUGGAGACUAGAUGAUGAUGACGAUACUCAAGCUAAAAUUUUCAAGAUUGCCAAAGAGAGAUAUAGGGGAUGGAGAGCUGAUUUAUCAGCAACAUAUAAGACAUACAAACAUGACAGGGAGGCUAUCAUCCGAAAUAAGCCUCAGGAGCUCAACAUGGACGCUUGGUAUGAUGUGAUCUCAUACUUCGAGUCAGAUGAUUUUAAGGUAGAUGAUCCAAACUUUCAUCUAUUUAUAUGGUUUGUUUUUAUUAGUAUAUGAUAUCAUAUAUUGUAUUAUUAUACAAUAACUUAAUAAGGUGUGUGACAAAGAUGUUUAUUUUAGACAAUAAGUGAUAGAAAUACUAAAAAUCGAAGCAAGCGAGAGAGCAUCCACUGUACUAGUAGCAAAUCAUUUGCACAAAUCAGCUUUGAAAAUCGUGAUCCAAAAACACAAAAGGAGCCUGACGAUCUUCAAAUGUGGGCAUUGGCCUACUGUCCAAAGGGCCAAUGGGCUCAUGAUACUCCAAAACAUGUAUAUGAGGAAGCAAAAGAAAAAAUUGCUGAAAUGAAAGUGAAUGAAGAUCGAACAUUAUCCAGUAAUGAGCAGGAUACAAUAUUCCAAUCAGUUGUCUCCAUGUUAGGCUCCAAGUUAAGCUCCAAGUCAAGAUAUGUCCUUGGUCGAGGAUACAUGGCAAAGCUUCCAACUUCUACAAAGCGUGUCCGCAAUGAACUUUAUAGUGAAGUUCAAUCUAUGAAGAGUCAAUUAGAUGCAGAACACACUGAGAGUGUAGCUGAACGUGCAGAAAUGGAAGCAAAAUUUGAAGCAGAACAUGCUAAGAGGUUGGCUGAACAUGCAGAAAUGGAAGUACAAUUUCAAAGACUCUGACAGACUAUACGUGAGGAAUUUUUGGCAAUACUAGCUAAUCAAUCUCAGGGUGGAGGCCAAUGAAGUGGUUGUGAAGCAUGCAUGGAUAUCACUUUCUGAAGGGAACUUUUCUUACUUGUUGCGUAUAUAUUUGUGUAUAUUUACUUUUGAAACUGUGUUUGAUUGUAAUUAACUAAACAAGUUAUGUGUAUAUUUGUGUUCUUGGACAUAUCAAUUUGAUGAAGUACUUUGACUUUUGCAUUUA
This is a long non-coding RNA of Quercus robur (English oak), 1222 nucleotides long. RefSeq lists it as uncharacterized. The transcript is spliced from 5 exons. The record is from RefSeq and is a predicted model, not a curated record. Lineage: Eukaryota; Viridiplantae; Streptophyta; Magnoliopsida; Fagales; Fagaceae.